AGUUUGAUCCUGGCUCAGAAUGAACGUUGGCGGCGUGGAUUAGGCAUGCAAGUCGAGCGAGAACCCAGCAAUGGGGGACAGCGGCGCAAGGGACAGUAAUGUGUAGAUUAUCUGCCCUCGGGUCCGGGAUAGCUGCGGGAAACUGCAGGUAAUACCGGAUAACAUCUCCGGAUCAAAGGUGUGAUUCCGCCCGAGGAUGAGUCUGCAUCCUAUUAGCUAGUUGGCAGGGUAAUGGCCUACCAAGGCUUUGAUGGGUAGCGGGUGUGAGAGCACGACCCGCGUCAUUGGGACUGAGACACUGCCCAGACACCUACGGGUGGCUGCAGUCGAGAAUCUUCGGCAAUGGGCGCAAGCCUGACCGAGCGACGCCGCGUGUGGGAUGAAGGCCUUCGGGUUGUAAACCACUGUCAGAGGGGAUGAAAUGCAGGUGGGUUCUCCCAUCUGUUUGACAUAGCCUCAGAGGAAGGACGGGCUAAGUUCGUGCCAGCAGCCGCGGUAAGACGAACCGUCCGAACGUUAUUCGGAAUCACUGGGCUUAAAGGGUGCGUAGGCGGCGCGGAAAGUUGGGUGUGAAAUCCCUCGGCUUAACCGAGGAACUGCGCCCAAAACUACCGUGCUUGAGGGAGAUAGAGGUGAGCGGAACUUAGGGUGGAGCGGUGAAAUGCGUUGAUAUCCUAAGGAACACCGGUGGCGAAAGCGGCUCACUGGAUCUCUUCUGACGCUGAGGCACGAAAGCUAGGGUAGCGAACGGGAUUAGAUACCCCGGUAGUCCUAGCCGUAAACGAUGAGCACUGGAUUGGAGGGUCCUCCAU
This 812-nucleotide ribosomal RNA is filed under the name uncultured Planctomycetaceae bacterium. RNAcentral describes it as "bacterial SSU rRNA". It matches the Rfam family "Bacterial small subunit ribosomal RNA", at positions 10 to 836 of the family's 1533-position model. Lineage: Bacteria; Pseudomonadati; Planctomycetota; Planctomycetia; Planctomycetales; Planctomycetaceae. The record is from RNAcentral.